Bombus huntii is the source of this 2640-nucleotide RNA transcript. It is a transcript of the gene named D-2-hydroxyglutarate dehydrogenase, mitochondrial, with no coding region annotated. Lineage: Eukaryota; Metazoa; Arthropoda; Insecta; Hymenoptera; Apidae. The record is from RefSeq and is a predicted model, not a curated record. The transcript has 9 exons.
UUACGCAAUGUUUAUUGCUCAUAACCUUGAUAACUUGAUACACGUGAAAUGUGGAGCGUUCAAAUUUGGUUUCUCUUCUUCGUUUAUUACGACGUGAAAUAUCAAUAAUAAAGUGUGAAGGUGAAUGAAGUGGCAAAUAUUACUUUAAAUAAUAUGAAUUCUCCAACGCUGCUUAGGACGCUCCGGCAUAUCUCGAUAUGUCGAUUUUUUUCUACGAAACCGGCGUUCACGUGCGACAGAUACAAAAUGAAAAGAGGCCCGUACGCGAACAUUUCCAAUGAUCACGUGGCAUUCUUCAAUGAGUUGCUCGGACGAAACAGGAUGAUUACGGAUGCAGAAGAAUGCGAAGGAUACAACAUAGAUUACUCAAAGAUCGUCAGAGGAAAGAGCACACUCGUAUUGAAACCAAAAACUACCGACGAAGUAUCUGCCAUAUUAAAGUUUUGCAACGACAAUCGGUUAGCCGUAUGCCCCCAGAGCGGAAAUACGGGCCUAGUAGGUGGUAGCGUGCCGGUCUUCGACGAGAUUGUUAUUUCUAUGAAGCUUAUGAAUAAAAUCAUCGAGACGAACGAAUUGGCAGGGGUGCUGACCUGUGAAGCCGGUUGCGUGCUCGAAGAUUUGGACAAUCAUUUAGCGACAGUAGGAUUAAUGAUGCCGAUUGAUCUCGGUGCCAAGGGUAGUUGUCUGAUCGGCGGCUGCGUGUCCACGAACGCAGGAGGUUUGAGGCUUCUUCGUUAUGGUAAUCUUCACGGAAACAUUCUGGGUCUCGAAGCCGUGAAGGCGAACGGGGACGUGGUAGAUUGUUUGAAUACGCUGAAGAAGAACAACACUGGCUACCAUUUGAAACAUCUUUUUAUAGGGUCGGAGGGAACCUUGGGAAUUGUAACGAAAGUCGCCAUUCAAUGUCCACCGCUUCCUGCGGCCAUCAAUGUCGCGUUCUUAGGGCUAAACAGUUUCGACAAAGUGUUGAAAGCGUUUCGUCUGGCGAAAAAAGAAUUGGGAGAGAUUCUGUCGUCGUUCGAGAUGAUGGACAAGUUGUCGUUAGACGUUUCCAUUGAGGCUUUUGGCCUAAAAAGUCCACUAACAUCGAGAACCGACGGUCACGAAUUUUACGUGUUGAUGGAAACUUCGGGUAGCAACGCGAGUCACGAUGAGGAGAAGCUCACCUCAUUCGUAGAGAAAGCGCUUGCCGACGAUAUCAUCGAAGACGGUACUCUGACUUCGGACCCCACCAAAGUCAAAAAUAUAUGGGCACUAAGGGAACGGAUUAGCGAAGGAGUAUUACGAGAAGGUUAUGUCUUUAAAUACGAUAUUUCUAUACCCCUUCCGUCUUUCUAUAAGGUGAUAGAGGUACUUAGGGAACGAUUACGCGAUCCACGCAUCAUAAGAAUCAGUGGAUAUGGACAUCUAGGUGAUGGAAAUAUUCACGUCCAGAUUUCAAUAUUGUCGUACGAAUCUGACAUAGCAUCACAACUACAACCUUUCAUUUUCGAAUACGUGUCUGGUCUUCGUGGUAGCGUAAGUGCUGAACAUGGAAUAGGAUUCACAAAGACAAAAUAUCUACAUAUGAGUAGAACCUCUUCUGAAAUCAAACUUAUGCAUGAAUUGAAACGGAUGAUGGAUCCAAAUGGAAUACUUAAUCCGUAUAAAGUGUUAUAUCCAUUAGAAAUUUCCGUAUAAUAAUAGGAUAAGUAAUAUUAUAAAAUAUACGAUAAGUAGGUAUUUACAUUUAGGAAUAAAUACAAUGCUAUUAAAUAAAUGAAACAUAUCAAAUGAAAAAAAUAAUACAUGAAAAUAAUAUCUAUCCUUAUUUAUUAUUGUAUCUUCUCCUUGUUAUAAUUAUCAUUUUUAUAUCUGUUAAAUGUUCUUAUUCGUCUUUUAUAUUUUCUGCGGUAAAAAAGUUAUUGGAAUUGUUUAUUAGUUUAGUCCGAGGAACGUGAUUUUAUUAAAAAGUUUUUAAAUUUUUCGCGCUUAUGAUUGGUGAAUUCUAUUAUAUCGGCCCACGGUAAAGGAACAGAUUGUAUCCUAUUAUACCGACUCUACAAUUGUUUACUGCAUUGAGUAUUUGUAAGACUAUAGAGAGAUCGCUACCAUCCAGUCAACAUAUUUAUGAAACGAUGUCUAUCUUUGGAUGAAAUGCCAAACGCAUAAAUCAACGUUCAAUAUAUUUGUCAUAAAAAAUAAAAUAUUACAAUAUACUUAAAUACGUUAUACGCGUUAUCUAACGUAUUCAGAAGAUAUAAUUUGCAUAAAAAGUAAAAAUAUAAGUAUGCAUGGAUUGGAAAAUAUAUAGAAAACAUAAUGUAAAACGAUGUAUUUUGAAUUGCGUGAAAAAAAUAGAGAAUACUCGAACAAACGAGAAGCCGCUUAGUGCUAAGAAUAAGCGUUGAUUGGCUAGGAUACGGUUGCUAGUAAAUUCGAGUAGAAACUUGACGCAAGAAAAUUCGAAACGGUUUGCGUCUGCGCAUGCACAGUUCGAAAAAUCUCGAAAAGCGCGCCACAUCAAAUAUAAACCCCGGCCGGCAGUAUUGCGCAGUCAGUUAAAAACUGCAACUUGAAGUGCAAGGUUCGUACAACGUUCCGAGCUACUAACGAACGACUUUAUACAAAACGAACGAUUAUUUCUUCCUGUGAGUGGUU